Molecule: ribosomal RNA, 396 nt
Filed under: Triticum aestivum (bread wheat)
Lineage: Eukaryota; Viridiplantae; Streptophyta; Magnoliopsida; Poales; Poaceae
Description: partial small subunit ribosomal RNA
Source: RNAcentral
AUGCUCCAAGAAAUUGGGGCAAUCCUGACAUUAAAGCAAAAGAUUAUUUCCUAUGUUAAGGUAUAUGAUCUUAUUUAUGAAUUGAAGAUUAUCAAAUUCACUUAGUCAUAUGGCGUAAUGUCUGCUAUGGAGAUUUUCAAGCAUGUGGGAGAGGUUGAUUGUUAUCCCAAUGUGUCCAUUGCUUAUUGCAUCUUAUUUACUGUGCAGGUGACUGUCGCAUCGAUUGGAUCAAGCUUUUCAAAGUUGAAAUUAUUGAAGAACUAUUUAGGAUCAACAAUGACUCAAGAGAGAUUAAAUGGAGUAUUAUGCACCGAGAAGAAAUUAUUGGAUGAGAUUGACAUCAACCCCCUCAUAAGUGACUUUACAUUGAGGAAUGUAAAGAAAAUUCGAAGGUAA